AACGAACGCUGGCGGCAUGCCUAACACAUGCAAGUCGAACGAUCCCUUCGGGGAUAGUGGCGCACGGGUGCGUAACGCGUGGGAACCUGCCCUUAGGUUCGGAAUAACUCAGAGAAAUUUGAGCUAAUACCGGAUAAUGUCUUCGGACCAAAGAUUUAUCGCCUUUGGAUGGGCCCGCGUUGGAUUAGCUAGUUGGUGGGGUAAAGGCCUACCAAGGCGACGAUCCAUAGCUGGUCUGAGAGGAUGAUCAGCCACACUGGGACUGAGACACGGCCCAGACUCCUACGGGAGGCAGCAGUGGGGAAUAUUGGACAAUGGGCGAAAGCCUGAUCCAGCAAUGCCGCGUGAGUGAUGAAGGCCUUAGGGUUGUAAAGCUCUUUUACCCGGGAUGAUAAUGACAGUACCGGGAGAAUAAGCCCCGACUAACUCCGUG
RNAcentral lists this ribosomal RNA (433 nucleotides) under uncultured bacterium. RNAcentral's name for it is "partial 16S ribosomal RNA". It matches the Rfam family "Bacterial small subunit ribosomal RNA", at positions 29 to 507 of the family's 1533-position model. The record is from RNAcentral.